CUCCUCUAGCGCAAUAUACAUACUGUCAGAAAGAGGUUUGUGAAUUUGAGAUUUCAAUGGAACCAUUGUUACCUUGUUACUAUACUUCUUCCAGUCAAAAUGAGAUUAAUGAGAUAACUACAUGUUAAACCUGUAAAGAUUUUAUUUUUCAGCAUUUAAAAAUCUGCCAUGUGGAUUCCGCAAUGCAAUUUAUUUCUCCUACACUAUAAAUUAAACGUCUGCUACACAGACUUUUGUGCAUGAUGUAACAACAACAAGCGUGCAGCGCCACGGCAGCCGCUGUAGGCAUUUUCAUAGCAUUUCAACAUGUGGCAGUUUAAACAGCACAAUUUAUUUUUUUUAAAACAUGAUAAUAACAGGCUGUGUAACAUCAGUAGUUCGUAGUAAACAUGCUAGGUUAGACGUGUAUAUGAUAAAUUUAAUUACGCUUAAGAGUAUGAUGAGUUUUAUGGCAUUGCUUUUCUGAGAGGGGUAAACAUUCAUACUUCAGCCAAAAUCACUACAGCUUAGGGUCUCGCUUGGUUAGUUAACAGGAUGAGCAUAUCAGAGAGUAGCAGUCAGAGGAGUGACAGAGAGGGACAGCAUUACAUGUGCAGACAUCUUAACACUGGGUGACAUUGUGAAUCCUGUUGCUGCGUAGUUGUAUUGUGCUGAUUUGUGAGUUAGGCAGAGAGCCGGCUAAUGUUUAAGACCCAACUAGCCUAAGAAGACAUUUAACAUAAAAGCAGGUAAAAAAACAAUAUAAAGCUAAGACAGCUGCAGAGCAGCCUACAUGCGUAUGUGAUUCCCAGUCAGGCUGGCCCGUGUGAGUCAUAUAUGGAAGUCGCAGCAGUGGCAACUGUUGUUAGUGGUUAGCCCCAUAAUGGCGGUACAGCUUUAGGUAGUGGGCUUAAGUUCAUCCUAUUCCCAAGGAUGGGAAGUGUGAGUCUUGUGCACUGAGGGCAAAGGUGGCUGUAGCAUUCUGAUGGCUCUGUUGGGCAUCCCUCCAGCCCCAGGCCGGUUGACAGGCCAGCAUCUUCGUGCCACGGACUUGGGGGCUCCUGGUGUCCUAGUCCUCCACUAUAGGGGCUAAGCAGGAGGAUUUGGUGGUAGGUGGCCGCUUGUAGCGGGUGAUCCUCCGCCUGUGUGGACGGUGCCGUGGGGUUCUGCCCCUGGGGGCUCUCGGCCUAGGUGAUCUCUUAAUGGGAGGAGGUUUAUGUGCUUUGGAGACAUGGAUGAUCAAAGGGGGCCCACUCACCAUCCAGCUCUCAACCUUCCGGUCGUCCUCCCGAUGUUGGGGCUUUGCUGCUUUUUGGCGUGCCUCCCACUCGGCCCAGAAGCUGGUAACGAUUUCGUCCAGCCUCCAUUGGGUGAUCUGUGCCUGGUUUAGAGGCUCCGGCUCGGAUUGCUGGGAGUUUUCGUCUUGCAGGGUAAGUCGGGCCGCCAUCUUGUGUGUUUCCGCUGGGGCAGUAUCACAGCUAGUUAGGGCGAUUAAAUUAAAUUCACUUGGUGCCAGGUACAAGCCAGGGCUGACCGUGAUAACCCCCACCUUUCCAGAGGUGGGGGGGAACAGGGCUGUGUUACAAGCUUUGGAGGGCACUAGGUUGCGCAGAGCAGGGGGAUCGGCCGCCUCACGCGUCCGGAGAUACUGCUAGGCCUCAUUCCCGACACCCUCGACGGACGCUCCGUGCACCCGUGGGCGACAGACCCGGGGCACCUCGGC
Pelobates cultripes (western spadefoot toad) is the source of this 1702-nucleotide non-coding RNA. The record is from the annotation of a GenBank genome assembly. Lineage: Eukaryota; Metazoa; Chordata; Amphibia; Anura; Pelobatidae.